This 220-nucleotide long non-coding RNA is filed under the name Nicotiana benthamiana. RNAcentral's name for it is "long non-coding RNA (NBEN_LNC002112)". The record is from RNAcentral. Lineage: Eukaryota; Viridiplantae; Streptophyta; Magnoliopsida; Solanales; Solanaceae.
CCAUUCCACUUCAUGCCUAAACGGUGUUGUUUCUUUUCCGUCCAUUCCACACAUGCAAAAAAGAUCAGAAACGCCCCCUCCACCCGGGUACAAAACCCUAUCCGCCGCACACCUUCUUGCUCCUUCUCCAUUCUUCUCACUUCACCAGGGAUGAACGAGAAUCAGACCCCUCCCAACAAAAAGCCCUAAUUCCCUUCCUCUAUCAUCAACUCCAAAUACC